UGUCAAUUGGUUGGGUGCCCAUGGGUGUGACCCAGUCCAGACUGUGUUGGGUGGGUGUUGGGUGAACCCAUAACUUAAUGGUCCAGUUGGGCUACAAAACCGAAUUUGCCCAUGGAUAGUUUGGGCCAAACCAAUUGGUCACUGGGUUAACCCAAUACAUUAAAAAAUUAGGUUUUUUAAUUUUGGGGAAAAAUCAGAUUUUUCCAUUUUACGAUUCCCCGAUGAAAAAUCUUCUUCUCGCGAUGAAAGAUUCUUGAGGCUUCUCUGCAUUUCGAUUCGUCUUCUCCAACCAUGAUUUCUCUGGCCUGAACCAGAUUUCUCCAUUCUCUGCAUCUGACUUCUUCUUCUCGCGAUUUCAGUUUUGGAUCAGUCUACUUGUAAGAGAAGGUUGGCUAAUGUAAGAGAAGGUUGGCUACUUUUAGAAUAUUGUUUCUCAGUUUCCAGCAAUAGGUGAUGAGAAGACAGAAGAGGAGAAAGAGGAAGAAGAGAAAGAGAAGGAAAAAGAGGAAGAGAGUGGAGAGUCCACAGACUUGACUAGAGAUAGUGGAGAGAAGGCAUAGCGGAAUAACAACUGAGAUGAUGGAUGGAAGUUACAACAACCGUUAGAGAUAUUCAGGUUCAUGAGCUCCAUUUUUAACUUUUGUUUACAUACAAGUUAUGAGGCUUGAGUUAUAUUUUUUUUUUUACAUAAAACAGAGCUAUCAAAACCUUAAAAUUGUAUCCACAUUUUUUUACAUCAUAUUUGUAUUAGAGGUGAACAAAUACAAAUUAAACAUUCAGCAGAUUUGAGAGAUAAUUUUUUUUACAUUAAA
Molecule: long non-coding RNA, 812 nt
Organism: Brassica rapa (field mustard)
Lineage: Eukaryota; Viridiplantae; Streptophyta; Magnoliopsida; Brassicales; Brassicaceae
Source: RefSeq, a predicted model, not a curated record